AUUGAACGCUGGCGGCAUGCCUUACACGUGCAAGUCGAACGGUAACAGGUCUUCGGAUGCUGACGAGUGGCGAACGGGUGAGUAAUACAUCGGAACGUGCCUAGUAGUGGGGGAUAACUACUCGAAAGAGUGGCUAAUACCUCAUGAGAUCUACGGAUGAAAGCAGGGGAUCGCAAGACCUUGUGCUACUAGAGCGGCCGAUGGCAGAUUAGGGAGUUGGUGGGAUAAAAGCUUACCAAGCCGACGAUCUGUAGCUGGUCUGAGAGGACGAUCAGCCACACUGGGACUGAGACACGGCCCAGACUCCUACGGGAGGCAGCAGUGGGGAAUUUUGGACAAUGGGCGCAAGCCUGAUCCAGCAAUGCCGCGUGCAGGAUGAAGGCCUUCGGGUUGUAAACUGCUUUUGUACGGAACGAAAAGCCCCGGGUUAAUACCCUGGAGUCAUGACGGUACCGUAAGAAUAAGCACCGGCUAACUACGUGCCAGCAGCCGCCGUAA
Molecule: ribosomal RNA, 498 nt
Filed under: uncultured bacterium
Lineage: Bacteria
Description: partial 16S ribosomal RNA
Rfam family: Bacterial small subunit ribosomal RNA
Source: RNAcentral